GACGAACGCUGGCGGCGUGCCUAAUACAUGCAAGUUGAGCGCUGAAGGUUGGUACUUGUACCGACUGGAUGAGCAGCGAACGGGUGAGUAACGCGUGGGGAAUCUGCCUUUGAGCGGGGGACAACAUUUGGAAACGAAUGCUAAUACCGCAUAAAAACUUUAAACACAAGUUUUAAGUUUGAAAGAUGCAAUUGCAUCACUCAAAGAUGAUCCCGCGUUGUAUUAGCUAGUUGGUGAGGUAAAGGCUCACCAAGGCGAUGAUACAUAGCCGACCUGAGAGGGUGAUAGGCCACAUUGGGAAUGAGACACGGCCCAAACGCCUACGGGAGGCAGCAGUAGGGAAUCUUCGGCAAUGGACGAAAGUCUGACCGAGCAACGCCGCGUGAGUGAAGAAGGUUUUCGGAUCGUAAAACUCUGUUGGUAGAGAAGAACGUUGGUGAGAGUGGAAAGCUCAUCAAGUGACGGUAACUACCCAGAAAGGGACGGCUAACUACGUG
RNAcentral lists this ribosomal RNA (497 nucleotides) under uncultured bacterium. RNAcentral's name for it is "partial 16S ribosomal RNA". It matches the Rfam family "Bacterial small subunit ribosomal RNA", at positions 28 to 507 of the family's 1533-position model. The record is from RNAcentral.